AUCAUUCUGGUUCAGCCAGUGAUGAAUGGGUUAAUAAUGUGGUUAUUGCAUCAGAUGUGUGGCCUUGCAAUCUUGUUAUGACAGGCACAGCACCCUUCUGAUC
Small nucleolar RNA from Polyodon spathula (Mississippi paddlefish), 103 nucleotides. RefSeq annotates it as small nucleolar RNA U13. The transcript has a single exon. The record is from RefSeq and is a predicted model, not a curated record. NCBI's taxonomy places the organism in Eukaryota, Metazoa, Chordata, Actinopteri, Acipenseriformes, Polyodontidae.